ACGGAAGGCAGCAGUGGGGAAUAUUGCACAAUGGGCGCAAGCCUGAUGCAGCGAUGCCGCGUGAGGGAAGAAGGUUUUCGGAUUGUAAACUUCUUUUACCAGGGACGAAGGACGUGACGGUACCUGGAGAAAAAGCAACGGCUAACUACGUGCCAGCAGCCGCGGUAAUACGUAGGUUGCAAGCGUUGUCCGGAUUUACUGGGUGUAAAGGGCGUGUAGGCGGAGCUGCAAGUCAGAUGUGAAAUCCCGGGGCUCAACCCCGGAACUGCAUUUGAAACUGUAGCCCUUGAGUAUCGGAGAGGCAAGCGGAAUUCCUAGUGUAGCGGUGAAAUGCGUAGAUAUUAGGAGGAACACCAGUGGCGAAGGCGGCUUGCUGGACGACAACUGACGCUGAGGCGCGAAAGCGUGGGGAGCAAACAGGAUUAGAUACCCUGGUA
Molecule: ribosomal RNA, 437 nt
Filed under: uncultured Pseudoflavonifractor sp.
Lineage: Bacteria; Bacillati; Bacillota; Clostridia; Eubacteriales; Oscillospiraceae
Description: partial 16S ribosomal RNA
Rfam family: Bacterial small subunit ribosomal RNA
Source: RNAcentral